This 253-nucleotide ribosomal RNA is filed under the name uncultured bacterium. RNAcentral's name for it is "partial 16S ribosomal RNA". It matches the Rfam family "Bacterial small subunit ribosomal RNA", at positions 337 to 606 of the family's 1533-position model. The record is from RNAcentral.
CCCUACGGGGGGCAGCAGUGGGGAAUAUUGCACAAUGGGGGAAACCCUGAUGCAGCAACGCCGCGUGAGUGAAGAAGGUUUUCGGAUUGUAAAGCUCUGUUAGCAGGGAAGAGGAAGGACGGUACCUGCAGAGGAAGCCACGGCUAACUACGUGCCAGCAGCCGCGGUAAUACGUAGUUGGCAAGCGUUAUCCGGAUUUACUGGGUGUAAAGGGAGCGUAGACGGCGUGCCAAGUCUGAUGUGAAAGGCCGGG